RNAcentral lists this long non-coding RNA (861 nucleotides) under Mus musculus (house mouse). RNAcentral's name for it is "expressed sequence AU015336". The record is from RNAcentral. Lineage: Eukaryota; Metazoa; Chordata; Mammalia; Rodentia; Muridae.
AGAAAAGAUGGGAGAAGUCAUUUUGAAACUGGCAUCCUUGAGUUAUUGUGAUUUUUAAGAGAGAACACUAUGAAAAAGAAUAAGGAGAGAUGCUAGGGCGCAGCCUCUUCAUCCUGAUGCCUCCGCAGUACUGCUGGGAACUCAGGGGAGACUGUGCCGGGCUCUAGGAAUCCGGAAGAUCUCACCAUGUUACACAGGGGAUUUAUUUAGAAUCUGGAUAUCACAGUCAUCACAAGUGAAGAUCUGUAAAGACCAGUGUUGCAAGGCAUACCAAUGCAAGAACAUCAUCAGCAAAGACCAGCAAAGCAUUGCAAAGCGAACCAAUGCAAGAGCAUCAUUCACUGUCUGUUGGGUUCUACUUAUACUCUUUCCAAACAUCACACAUCCUCUCAAGUGUCUGCCUCAGAAAAACAUCCUCUCAUCAGCAUAACAUCCUCUUAUAAGACAGGUUCUAGAAAAAAACAUCAUGUGACAUAACUGAGUCUUUAGAGAAACCAGAAAUUUCCCCUUCAGCUCAUCUUGGAAAAGAAUCUCAGUGUGGAGUUGUCUACAUCAGGUUGGCAUGAUAAAUAAGGAAACAUGUAUACAUUCAUCUAUACAUUCUACCUGCUCUUGACUAUGAAUGUAAUGUGAUUUAUCUACUAUAAACUCGUGCUUUGACUUUUCCACAAUGAUUGACUGUAUCCUAGAAAUAUAGGCUGAAAUAACAGCCAACCUGUUUUCCAUCCGGUAUUUUAUCAUAGCAAUAAAUGACACUAGGUCAUCUCAAUGUUUUGCCCUUAUUGUUAAAUUGUUCAUUUUAUUACAUUGUCAAUUCUUAACAAUUGUUAAAUUGCUCAAUUGUUAAGGAAAAUGACAAAA